UACAGAGGGGGCAAGCGUUGUUCGGAAUUACUGGGCGUAAAGGGCGCGUAGGCGGCCUUCUAAGUCGAACGUGAAAUCCCCGGGCUCAACCCGGGAACUGCGUCCGAUACUGGAAGGCUUGAAUCCGGGAGAGGGAUGCGGAAUUCCAGGUGUAGCGGUGAAAUGCGUAGAUAUCUGGAGGAACACCGGUGGCGAAGGCGGCAUCCUGGACCGGUAUUGACGCUGAUGCGCGAAAGCCAGGGGAGCAAACGGG
RNAcentral lists this ribosomal RNA (253 nucleotides) under uncultured bacterium. RNAcentral's name for it is "partial 16S ribosomal RNA". It matches the Rfam family "Bacterial small subunit ribosomal RNA", at positions 524 to 776 of the family's 1533-position model. The record is from RNAcentral.